UACGUAGGUGACAAGCGUUGUCCGAAUUUACUGGGCGUAAAGAGCGCGCAGGCGGUCGUUCAAGUCGAGUGUGAAAGCCCCCGGCUCAACUGGGGAGGGUCACGCGAUACUGAUCGACUCGAAGGCAGGAGAGGGUAGUGGAAUUCCCGGUGUAGUGGUGAAAUGCGUAGAUAUCGGGAGGAACACCAGUGGCGAAGGCGACUACCUGGCCUGUUCUUGACGCUGAGGCGCGAAAGCUAGGGGAGCAAACGGG
RNAcentral lists this ribosomal RNA (253 nucleotides) under uncultured bacterium. Its description in RNAcentral is "partial 16S ribosomal RNA". It matches the Rfam family "Bacterial small subunit ribosomal RNA", at positions 524 to 776 of the family's 1533-position model. The record is from RNAcentral.